CCUUUCAAAAGCCCCUUUAAAAUUAAAGUACUGUUGCUUCAAAUCACAAUUCCUUUAAUUGCUAUUCAACACAUGCAAGUAACUUGUCUUUUGUGUCUCUUUAAAUAGUAAAUUUAAUAAUUAGUAAAUAGCAGAACAUUUGUUCAAUAGUAUUAUCCCUAUUUCGUUUUUUUUCUGUGUUACUUGUUUCAGUUUUAUCCAAUAUAUUGAGUUAAUAAUAGAACGCUGCAAAGUCUUCAGAUGUCUGACAGCUCAGUGGCUUAAUAAUUAACUUUCUGGGGCCUGAGACUUUGUUUUGAUCCAAGAAAAAUGUGUUCAGCCUAUCCACCAGUGAGCCCUGUUGGCAGCAUGUAUUUCCACAAGCAACAAUCUACAAUGAUUAUGACAGAGCAAACUGACACCAAGGAAGUUAUCCACAGACAUUCAGAAAGUUGCUGGCAGAAUUCACCUGGAGCCUGGGAAUCCUGAUGUCUGUCCCUGUAGUUAACCCAUGGCACCUCUGGUCACAGUUAUCCUUUUGCUGAGUAUAGGAUUAUCCCAGGAGUAUUGAAUCUCUGUUGUGAUAAGGGAAUGGCACUGACACGAGGCGGGCAGAGACUCAGCCUGUGGACAGCUGAGGGAGAAUUGAUUUGCUGUGAGUUUCGUAGCAUUUCCUAUGGAUUAAGGGUCACUGGAUUCCAGUUCUGUUCCUGACUGCAGAGCACUGUCUGUCUCAGACUGGCUCCAGGAAAUGGACACUCUUCCGCAGAAGCCAGAAGAUUUCGUGGAAGCGCUGUGGCCCCUUUCCAGGUUGCAGUUCACCCACUGCCCUGGGGAGUGUCAUUAGUGGGAGGGAAGUGGAGAUUUAAAGGGAUGAGGAGAGGAGAGAAAAAAGAA
Molecule: non-coding RNA, 876 nt
Organism: Cyanistes caeruleus (blue tit)
Lineage: Eukaryota; Metazoa; Chordata; Aves; Passeriformes; Paridae
Source: RefSeq, a predicted model, not a curated record